AACAGAACAACAAAAUGCUAUUCUAUUCUCUUACAAAUCUUCACUUUAUGAUCUAUAUUUUGUGUUACAGAAAGGAAGUUGGAGACUGAAGAGAAUAAAUUUUGAUAUCCUAAGUGUAUGCCCCCACGAGGAGGACCAGUACCCAAUAAUAAUGGGAAGAUUUUUCCUGACUCUUCCUGCCAACGCCCACAAAGUAUUUAUUCACUGCCUUCCAAAGGCAUUCUAACACCUUCAAAAGCAGUUCUCAGGUCUUCCUGUCCGCUAGGAUGCUGUCUUCAUGUAUGGUUAAAGCUGGCUCACCAGUGCCACAUCCAGGUCCCAGCCUACGUUGAAGGAGAAGUGGCGGAUAUCCCCACUCCUUAUCCUGAGGGAAAGAGUUGGGGACUGGCCUUAUUUCCUGAUGUAGGUGCAAGGAUGGAAUUUGAAGGAUCACAGGAAGAGUACGAGAGGCUGGGACCAGAAAAGCCAGGACAAAACAUUAGGGCUUGGGUUGA
Long non-coding RNA from Lagenorhynchus albirostris (white-beaked dolphin), 494 nucleotides. RefSeq lists it as uncharacterized. NCBI's taxonomy places the organism in Eukaryota, Metazoa, Chordata, Mammalia, Artiodactyla, Delphinidae. The record is from RefSeq and is a predicted model, not a curated record. The transcript has 3 exons.